This 77-nucleotide transfer RNA is filed under the name Klebsiella pneumoniae. RNAcentral describes it as "tRNA-Pro". It matches the Rfam family "tRNA". Rfam says of the family: Transfer RNA (tRNA) molecules are approximately 80 nucleotides in length. Their secondary structure includes four short double-helical elements and three loops (D, anti-codon, and T loops). Further hydrogen bonds mediate the characteristic L-shaped molecular structure. tRNAs have two regions of fundamental functional importance: the anti-codon, which is responsible for specific mRNA codon recognition, and the 3' end, to which the tRNAs corresponding amino acid is attached (by aminoacyl-tRNA synthetases). tRNAs cope with the degeneracy of the genetic code in two manners: having more than one tRNA (with a specific anti-codon) for a particular amino acid; and 'wobble' base-pairing, i.e. permitting non-standard base-pairing at the 3rd anti-codon position. Lineage: Bacteria; Pseudomonadati; Pseudomonadota; Gammaproteobacteria; Enterobacterales; Enterobacteriaceae. The record is from RNAcentral. RNAcentral also lists the same sequence under 1 other name.
CGGAGUUUAGCUCAGUUUGGCAGAGCACCUGGUUUGGGACCAGGGGGUCGUAGGUUCAAGUCCUACAAUUCCGACCA